Long non-coding RNA from Helianthus annuus (common sunflower), 659 nucleotides. RefSeq lists it as uncharacterized. Lineage: Eukaryota; Viridiplantae; Streptophyta; Magnoliopsida; Asterales; Asteraceae. The record is from RefSeq and is a predicted model, not a curated record. The transcript is spliced from 2 exons.
UAAAAAUCAAACAUACAUACCCCUUUACUUAAUUAAAUUAUAUAAUAAUACUACAAAAACUAAAAAGCCACCACAUGCUACCGAAAAGUCACGCUUCAUCAAUCACACUGUUUAUUGAAAACCUUUUCUCUUAAUACUAUAGAUGUUCGUCACACUCGACCAUCUUUUCCUCACAAGUCACACUGUUUAAACAAACCUCAUGAAUUAAUAAAAUAAUAUUUGCUCUCCAAAGACAAACCUCAUGAAUUAAUUAAUAAAAAAAUAUAUGCUCUGACCCCUCUAUGUAUUCUGCUUAUAUUUAAUUAAUCAUAAUCAUCUCAUACAUUUCAAUCCCACUUUAUUCUCAAAACUGUUUCAUAUUCCCAGUUUCUACAAUCACAUUUUCCCCAUCAUCUUCUUCUUCUUCUUCUUCACGUCUUUAACCGCUGUUCAUCCAAAAACAUCUAAUUCGCCAUCCAAGGAACCUCAAAAUGAAGUUCAUUGAGAUAUCAACGAUUUGACCACAUGAUAAUGAAGAACCCCUUCAAAUAAGAGUAAUAAGAAGAUGGAUACCAUACGCAAAACGACAAGAUCUUUGAUAACUUUUUGUAGAUAAUCAUGUAAGCUUCAACACAUAAAUAUCAAUUGGUUAAUAUUAUAUUGCUAAUAUUUUUCACACA